GGGUCAGUAGGUUGGUCGUGCCACCGGUACGUACUGGUCUCACUGAUUCCUCCUUCCUGAAGAACCGUAAUGCCAUUAAUUUGGUGUUGCGGGGAAACAGGACUUUCACUUUGAAAAAAUUAGAGUGUUUAAAGCAAGCUAACGAUUGAAUACAUUAGCAUGGAAUAAUGAAAUAGGACGAUCGAUCCUAUUUUGUUGGUUUCUAGGAUUGACGUA
RNAcentral lists this ribosomal RNA (216 nucleotides) under Glomeromycotina sp. RNAcentral describes it as "partial small subunit ribosomal RNA". The stretch from base 40 to 216 matches the Rfam family "Eukaryotic small subunit ribosomal RNA", at positions 686 to 864 of the family's 1831-position model. The record is from RNAcentral. Lineage: Eukaryota; Fungi; Glomeromycota.